Molecule: long non-coding RNA, 5910 nt
Organism: Amblyraja radiata (thorny skate)
Lineage: Eukaryota; Metazoa; Chordata; Chondrichthyes; Rajiformes; Rajidae
Exons: 3
Source: RefSeq, a predicted model, not a curated record
UUUGAUGUGGCACAUUGUAUUGAAAUUACCGAUUUGGUUCUUUUUCAAUAACCAUCAAUCUUGUGGUAAAUGUUGAUUGGAAUUAAUUUGGCCCCUGGUGCUUCUGAAUUUCAUCUGCCACCUUCCUUGUGUGGUUAACUGCACAGUUGUAUUCUCAUUUCAAUGAAACAGUGUUGAAAUAUUGAUAUGUCAUUAUAAUUGAAUCAGUAAUUGAUGAAUUUUCCAUACAUGUGCCAUCCCUAGUAUAGUGUAGUUCUUGGUUUGAGAUUACUGUUUUGUCUACUGAAAAUCCAUCCAUCCAUUCACUAAAUCUGUCUCAAAUACAGGCACGAGACAUUCUAUUGAACAAAUGGGUACUGCUGAUGCAGCAGAAAUCCUUUACAUCAGCACUAAUAUUUUGCUGUCCGUGAUGAAAUGUUCCCAAAUGUACACUUUGAGUUCCUACACUGUAAAACUUUUUGAACUGCAGCAAUCACUGAACUGGACACCAAACAGUUUUUUUAGGGCUGAUUUUUAGUUUCAUACACUAACCAAGUGUUUGUCCCAAUGGAUGGAUUAGAUUGCUGAAGUUGUUCUUUUUUAAAAGAAUGGGAACUUGAUCAAUGAUCUGCAUAACUUCUUGAGCUUCAUCUUGUUUGUCACGGUGAAGGUCGUAGUUAUUCGAGGGUACCUGAUCAAGGAGCUUCAAUUGAAUAUUCUAAGAUUGUGUUUGCAGAGGGAUCUAAAUAAAAGAUUCCAAGUAAUACGCAUAUUUUUUUUUCACACAUGUUUGCAACACAAUGUAACUUUCAGGUUAUUUAGUUCGAGCUGAUCUGCAUGACAAUUAUGUUUAUAGUUCCUUUGGUUUAUUGGUGUCCAAACUGACAGUAAUCUCUCAAUCGAUAAUAGAAAUUGUGGUUCAUCUCAUUGCUGUUUAUAGGACUUUGCUGUGUAAAAUAGGCUGCUACGCUAUUUCUUAAAAUGUUAUUUUUCAAAAUAAAUUUACUUUAGUGAAACAUUGUGCAAUAUCUUGGAGGCAUAAAUAACUCUAAAGCUAAAUAUUUACAUGCAGGGAAAAUGUAAAGCUGACUGUUAUCACCUGUAGCUAUGAAAUCAUGAAGGGUCCUCGCCUACCUGUUCAAUUAGUACCACCUUUCUGUGUUGUCUGACGGUGCAGCCACCUUCCACAAACAACUUCAAGUGUCUCCGGUUUCUGUGACCAAAGGAAGCCAAUCACACAGUACUGAUGCACUAAACACUGAAUGCCAAUAUCCCAAUUCAAUUGACCCUCAUGCUUGAUUUCAUUAAGGAUCAAAUUUCCAGGGACCUUCUAGUUAUGUAGAUAGUUGUAACAAAAUGGUUGAAACAAGGAGUGGUAAGAGGUCACAAGUUGUUAACUCCGGGUAUUCUUUUGGUUAAAUGCAUCUGCACUAACUCCAACACUAGAUCUUCAGUAAGAGAAGGUAAGAAAGACUACAAUAAAACUCUCGUAAUCCGACACUGUGGACUUUGGUGUUGCUGGAUUAGCAAAUCUUCUGAUCUGUUGGAUGUUGCUUCCAUUAAUACCCUAAUAUAUUUUAUUUAACCGAUUCACAUGUUAUACAUUAAUAUAAUAUUUCAAUAGAUCCAAUUAAUUAAAUGACACUGCUAGCUGGGCCCUGUGGGUUUAAAAGGAGACGUAAUUAAAUCUGGUGAAUCCCGUUUGUAAAUUUAACCUUCUAUGUUUUUGCUUGUCACGGCAAUCCGAAGCAUUAAGGCACCCCAGCUCCUAACCUCAACCCUAUUUGCAUUCUGGGCUCCACAUCAUGCUCGCUGCAUCUGUUGCGCUGGUCAAUGCCCAACCAUGGAGAUUUCCACACAAUCAUUCUGGAUUAUUAGAGUUUUACUGUAUUCCAUAAACAAUAACUAUGCCCAAAAAUGGACAAUUUACCUUUCUUCUUCGGGUGCUUCACACACUAUCUGAAAUAGCUCACCCAGAGUUAGUGAUCAUCAGGAGGAGAGACAGGAGCUUUCUGCUUGGGUCUGGAUGGAGGUAAGCAAUGGUUAUCAGCUGUAUGUUGGUUUUAACAGUAAAGUAGAAUGGAAUUAUAAUAACGAUAUGUGCUUUUACAGAUCAGAUAGCAAUUGGUGUUAAAGCGGAAUGGCUUUUGGCCUCAAGCUUGGAUAGUGGAUAAAUACUUGGGGAAAGGUGACACAUGGAAGGCUGCAGGAUAGAACUAUUUUGAGUUGGCCUGAGAAUAUCACGAUGUCCUGGCUGUGAGGCUGUGUUCUAUCUAUACGGUAUAUUGUGGUAUAAUAAUACCACUGUCAUCGGUUUAGCCAAAUUAAACUUUGACAAAAUACCUUUCUUGGUUAUUACCAAUUUUGAGGCAUUAAUGUUGUUAUAAGUUGUGUUAGUGCGAGGUGUAUAUCGGGUUGAAGUGCCAGUUACAUUAAGGAAGAGCCAAAAGAAGAGGUACGAGUGAACACCAUUAGGUCCAUUGUGGCAUUUCACUUUAGUAAUGAGACAUCAACAAGAUGAAGAUGCUGCUGAUCUGCUGGAAAUUGUCUCUAUUCUUAAACACACAUGACUUGAACAUUAAGCAGCAGUUAAUAUUAUUGACUUUUAAACUAGGGCUUCCUUGUUGAGAUUACCAUAAUCCAUUACUGUCAUCAUUAACAUCCCACAUGUUACUCCAGUUUAAACAUUCCAUGUCGCUGAUUUGUAUAUGGACUAUUAUUGUUUGGGAGAUGAGUUUUUUUGGAGGCCUGAAAUAAUAUUCAAACGUCAAGCAUUCUUAUCAAUCAACUUGAGUAGUAAUAAUAUUUAAAUGUUAGACAAGCAAAUCAAAAGCUUACUUGAAAAUAAAAUGUCAUGCAACAAUUGACCUGGGAUACUCAGGGUCUAGGGAGUGCUGUUAAAACCAAAUGAGAAAAUGAAGCUAAUGUUGGUCUUGCUUUAGUUUUUGGUUUAGUUUAUUGUCACGUAUAUUGAGAUUCAGUUAAAAGCCUUUUUGUCGCGUGCUGUCCAAUCAGCAGAAAUACUAUACAUGAUUACAAUCAAGUCAUCCACUGUACACAGAUACAGGAUGAAGGGAAUAAUGUUUAGUGCAAGCUAAAGUCUGAUUCAAGAUCGUCCAAGGAUCUUCAAUGAGGUUGAUGGUAGGUCUAGACUGGACUGCUCUCUAGUUGGUGAUAGGGCGGUUAUGUUGAGAUCUGAGUUCCUGUACCAGGAGGAACUGUGUACAAACAUUGGCCUAGAAUUUUGCUAGCUAUUUGGGCCAUGGGUUUUGAUGGUUUUGAGUUCAAUGUUCACUAUUUAAACAUUGUGUUCUAUGUAUUCUUCCAGUAUCUUGACACAACUCAAAACUUAAGAUGGAGUACUGUGCACAUGCCUUCAAAAUCAAGAUGUGUAUUGUUUUAUUUUCUAUCCUCAAAAUGUAUUACACUAUUAAAUAAUAAAGGUUGAAAUUCAGAAACUGCCAAGAAAAAAUGAGUUUACAGUGGAAAUAUUCAGAUCUAUAUUUCUCUGUACCUGAUCCCUCAGGAAUAAGUUGGACAUGUUCCCUGCAGUCAAGGUUUCCAUUGAAUUUUGCUGUACCAUCUGUGCUUUACCAAGAGUCUCCUCCAAGCCUAUUGAUUGUGCAAAGCAAUUCACAUUUAUUUGUUAUAUUGAGGUUCUGGGCAUGUGUCUUUAUCAUCUUUUUCAUGUCAAACUUCGCAAAGUGAAUGGAUAAAUCUUUUGUGAAAAUAAAAAUUCAGCCUGUACAAUUGUCAAUACAAUUAUAUACUGGCUGUAGUCUGUACCUUGACUCAUGUCCUCUGACAUUCUUGGCAAAAACAAACUUAAUUCAUUAGACCCUUUUAUCCACAAUCAUUUUAGUGAGGAGAAUUCCAGUUUUCCAUAACCCUUUUUUGUAAAAGUGCUUCCAGAUUUCACCCAUGGGUUGCCCAGUUUAAAUUCUUCUUUUUCUUUAGAUGUCCUGUCAAAUUAGGAAACCUAACUGUAUAUUAAUAUCAAAUCCCAUGCAACAUUAAUUGGAUCAUUUCUCAACCUUAGACUUUUAAAAUGUCAGCAGGUAGAUGUAUUUGUUAUGUUCCUCUGCACAAGGAUACCUUUUCUAAUGUUUGGAGCUGGAACUGAAUUAUGACAAACUGCUUCAGAUGGAGUCUGAUGCAAAAGUCAAGAAUGUACCUAUGUUGAUUGUGUAAUUUAACUAUCAUUGCAUAGUGCAAAACAUUUUCACACUUUGUUGUUUGGUCUUUUAAUUGAUACUUAAAAUUAUCAAUAACAAUGACCUAUUCAGAAGUAUUUUUGGAGAUGUAUUUUGCAGAUUUUCUUAACAAUUGAUAAUUGUGGCCAGUCGUCCUUGAGGUUUUUAUGGAUAAUAUGCACCUUUGACUCUUAGAAAAUCCCCAAGACCACCUCACUAUCUAGUGUUCAAAAGUUAUCUUGGUCAUGAGCCUGGGGAAGUGAAUAAACCUUCUGCUCAAUGUGGCUGUUUUUCCUCAAAUAUACUUCUCUCUCGUUUGACAAUAGGUGCAGGUGUCGGCCAUUCGGCCCUUCGAGCCAGCACCGCCAUUGCUAAGUGCUCCCUGUUUUCCCAGUGUUAACAAAUAUUAUAUUAAGCAUAUGAUUGUACAUCUUUGAAAACCUAGUUAGCGGUAUGUUUUUUUUAUCAUUAAUACAUUGCAAUGGUUAUUAUGAUCUUGAUUGGCCUAUUUCAAAGACUCAAAUACAAAAAUCUUCAUUGAUCUUCUAGUGCGCGCCAGAGGGACCGAGUCACAGUUGGAAUUGUCAUAGUUCAAUUGAAUCCCUUGUUUGUACUCUAGGGUGAAUGUAAAAAAUGCCAAGCGCUUAAUGUGAAGAAGACAGGGUGCCCCCUGUUUCCAGACUAUCUUUCCCUAAAGCAACUCAUUAAAAAACAAUUUGUCAGAUUAUUGCUAUCUGUGGGAGCUUGCUGUGCAUACCUAUGGUAUAACUCUUCAUUAUGUACUCGAUUAGCUGUGCAGCAUUUUGGGCAAUUCGAGGACACGAAGGAUGUUAUAUAAGUUUGUUUGUCUUACUCAUUCAAAUGGGUAUGAAUUAUCUUUGAUAAUGAAUCCCAUUUUUGUAAGAAUUGUAUUUGGAUUGCAAAGUAUCGCAAAUACAGUUCAGUUUAAUUUAUUGUCACGUGUACCGAGAUACAGUGAAAAGCUUUUGUUGCGUGCUAUCCAGUCAGCGGAAAGACAAUACAUGAUUACAAUCGAUCCAUUUACUGUGUAUAGAUACAUGAUAAGGGAAUAACGUUUAGUGCAAGGUAAAGCCAUCAAAAUCCGAUCAAGGAUAGUCUGAGGGUCAACAAAGUGGUAGAUUCAGCAGUACAGUAGGAAGUGACUGAAUAUUUGAAAUAUUAAUUGGCCUAAGUGGCAGUACUUGGGAGUUAUGUUGAAUUGAUUGUGAUAUGCUCCUUAUUUGAUGUGACACAUCUGUUCCUGCAUUGAUUCACUUAAUCAUUUCUGGGCAUUGUAUUUAAAUACAUUGACUAAUUCGUUUAGAAAUGACUAAGCAUUUGUGAUUCCUUAAAAUUCUAUUUUAAACUAUUUAAUCAGCGAUGAGGAUGUAGCAAAGUGAUAUCUGUAGAUGUCAGAUGGAGCAUCAUUUUCUGAAUUUAUUAAAGCUAAAUUAACUUGAUGUUCAGAUAGUCUUUCAACUACUCCUGAAUGUUCUCUCCAAUGUACAUAACAUUCCCAGGUAUCGUCUGUCUUUAUUAGAAGCCUUCAUUUGAUUUUGAUAUAAAUGACGCUGUCCUUGUACAUUAUGGAGUCUACAGUGUGAGAUAUCAACAUGUAAUAUCUUGCUAUUGCUGCUUUUUAUCAGAUUUCAGUAUCAAAGUAAGUUGAAAACAAAUUGUGGAAGUAACACAUCCCCUCAAAAGUUUGGUAGACAAAAAUGCUGGAGAAACUUCAGUC